Molecule: ribosomal RNA, 519 nt
Filed under: uncultured Caryophanales bacterium
Lineage: Bacteria; Bacillati; Bacillota; Bacilli; Caryophanales
Description: uncultured Bacillales bacterium partial 16S ribosomal RNA
Source: RNAcentral
CACGUAGUUAGCCGUGGCUUUCUAAUAAGGUACCGUCAAGGUAACGCCAGUUACUACGCUACUUGUUCUUCCCUUACAACAGAGUUUUACGAACCGAAAUCCUUCUUCACUCACGCGGCGUUGCUCCAUCAGGCUUUCGCCCAUUGUGGAAGAUUCCCUACUGCUGCCUCCCGUAGGAGUCUGGGCCGUGUCUCAGUCCCAGUGUGGCCGAUCACCCUCUCAGGUCGGCUACGCAUCGUUGCCUUGGUGAGCCGUUACCUCACCAACUAGCUAAUGCGCCGCGGGCCCAUCCUAUAGCGAUAGCAGAACCAUCUUUCAACUUUCUGACAGGAGCCAAAAAGUAUUAUUCGGUAUUAGCCCCGGUUUCCCGGAGUUAUCCCAAACUAUAGGGUAGGUUGCCCACGUGUUACUCACCCGUCCGCCGCUAACGUUUUAUCGGUGCAAGCACCAAUAAAACGUCCGCUCGACUUGCAUGUAUUAGGCACGCCGCCAGCGUGUCUCGUGCACGAGUCAACUACU